AUACCGUCAAUGUGUAGAUAUCGGGAAGAACACCGAUGGCGAAGGCAGGUCUCUGGGCCGUCACUGACGCUGAGGAGCGAAAGCGUGGGGAGCGAACAGGAUUAGAUACCCUGGUAGUCCACGCCGUAAACGGUGGACGCUGGAUGUGGGGCACGUUCCACGUGUUCCGUGUCGGAGCUAACGCGUUAAGCGUCCCGCCUGGGGAGUACGGCCGCAAGGCUAAAACUCAAAGAAAUUGACGGGGGCCCGCACAAGCGGCGGAGCAUGCGGAUUAAUUCGAUGCAACGCGAAGAACCUUACCUGGGCUUGACAUGUUCCCGACGACGCCAGAGAUGGCGUUUCCCUUCGGGGCGGGUUCACAGGUGGUGCAUGGUCGUCGUCAGCUCGUGUCGUGAGAUGUUGGGUUAAGUCCCGCAACGAGCGCAACCCUCGCCCCGUGUUGCCAGCACGUUAUGGUGGGAACUCACGGGGGACCGCCGGGGUUAACUCGGAGGAAGGUGGGGAUGACGUCAGAUCAUCAUGCCCCUUACGUCCAGGGCUUCACGCAUGCUACAAUGGCCGGUACAGCGGGAUGCGACAUGGCGACAUGGAGCGGAUCCCUGAAAACCGGUCUCAGUUCGGAUCGGAGCCUGCAACCCGGCUCCGUGAAGGCGGAGUCGCUAGUAAUCGCGGAUCAGCAACGCCGCGGUGAAUGCGUUCCCGGGCCUUGUACACACCGCCCGUCAAGUCAUGAAAGUGGGCAGCACCCGAAGCCGGUGGCCUAACCCCUUGUGGGAUGGAGCCGUCUAAGGUGAGGCUCGUGAUUGGGACUAAGUCGUAACAAGGUAGCCGUACCGGAAGGUGCGGCUG
This 849-nucleotide ribosomal RNA is filed under the name uncultured bacterium. Its description in RNAcentral is "bacterial SSU rRNA". It matches the Rfam family "Bacterial small subunit ribosomal RNA", at positions 676 to 1520 of the family's 1533-position model. The record is from RNAcentral.